Long non-coding RNA from Anneissia japonica, 147 nucleotides. RefSeq lists it as uncharacterized. The record is from RefSeq and is a predicted model, not a curated record. The transcript has 2 exons. Lineage: Eukaryota; Metazoa; Echinodermata; Crinoidea; Comatulida; Comatulidae.
GAGUAGGAUCGAUAUCAUCAGCAAUUGUAGGUUUCUCUGUCAACAGUUACCGUCUCGGUUUUCAAAUAUGCUGUGGCGUCCAAUUAAUUGCGGUCGUAUUGGUAGUAUACAUACUUAUACUGCAGAAAAGAAAGCCGAACAACAUCU